GUGGGGAAUCUUAGACAAUGGGGGAAACCCUGAUCUAGCCAUGCCGCGUGAGCGAUGAAGGCCUUAGGGUUGUAAAGCUCUUUCAGCUGGGAAGAUAAUGACUGUACCAGCAGAAGAAGCCCCGGCUAACUCCGUGCCAGCAGCCGCGGUAAUACGGAGGGGGCUAGCGUUGUUCGGAAUUACUGGGCGUAAAGCGCACGUAGGCGGACCGGAAAGUCAGAGGUGGAAUCCCAGGGCUCAACCUUGGAACUGCCUUUGAAACUCCUGGUCUUGAGGUCGAGAGAGGUGAGUGGAAUUCCGAGUGUAGAGGUGAAAUUCGUAGAUAUUCGGAGGAACACCAGUGGCGAAGGCGGCUCACUGGCUCGAUACUGACGCUGAGGUGCGAAAGCGUGGGGAGCAAACAGGAUUAGAAACCCUAGUAGUCC
This 425-nucleotide ribosomal RNA is filed under the name uncultured bacterium. RNAcentral's name for it is "partial 16S ribosomal RNA". It matches the Rfam family "Bacterial small subunit ribosomal RNA", at positions 354 to 796 of the family's 1533-position model. The record is from RNAcentral.